GGGAUUGUGGCUUAGUGGUAGAGUGUUUGCCUUGCAUACACAAAGCCCUGGGUUCGAUUCCUCAAUACCA
Molecule: transfer RNA, 70 nt
Filed under: Dipodomys ordii (Ord's kangaroo rat)
Lineage: Eukaryota; Metazoa; Chordata; Mammalia; Rodentia; Heteromyidae
Rfam family: tRNA
About the family: Transfer RNA (tRNA) molecules are approximately 80 nucleotides in length. Their secondary structure includes four short double-helical elements and three loops (D, anti-codon, and T loops). Further hydrogen bonds mediate the characteristic L-shaped molecular structure. tRNAs have two regions of fundamental functional importance: the anti-codon, which is responsible for specific mRNA codon recognition, and the 3' end, to which the tRNAs corresponding amino acid is attached (by aminoacyl-tRNA synthetases). tRNAs cope with the degeneracy of the genetic code in two manners: having more than one tRNA (with a specific anti-codon) for a particular amino acid; and 'wobble' base-pairing, i.e. permitting non-standard base-pairing at the 3rd anti-codon position.
Source: Rfam by way of RNAcentral